GAUGAACGCUGGCGGCGUGCUUAACACAUGCAAGUCGAACGGUGAAGCAGGAGCUUGCUCUUGUGGAUCAGUGGCGAACGGGUGAGUAACACGUGAGCAACCUGCCCCUGACUCUGGGACAAGCGCUGGAAACGGCGUCUAAUACUGGAUAUGUGAUGUGACCGCAUGGUCUGCAUCUGGCAAGAAUUUCGGUUGGGGAUGGGCUCGCGGCCUAUCAGCUUGUUGGUGAGGUAAUGGCUCACCAAGGCGUCGACGGGUAGCCGGCCUGAGAGGGUGACCGGCCACACUGGGACUGAGACACGGCCCAGACUCCUAUGGGAGGCAGCAGUGGGGAAUAUUGCACAAUGGGCGGAAGCCUGAUGCAGCAACGCCGCGUGAGGGAUGACGGCCUUCGGGUUGUAAACCUCUUUUAGCAGGGAAGAAGCGAAAGUGACGGUACCUGCAGAAAAAGCACCGGCUAACUACGUGCCAGCCGCCGCGGUAA
Molecule: ribosomal RNA, 484 nt
Filed under: uncultured bacterium
Lineage: Bacteria
Description: partial 16S ribosomal RNA
Rfam family: Bacterial small subunit ribosomal RNA
Source: RNAcentral